Molecule: ribosomal RNA, 503 nt
Filed under: uncultured bacterium
Lineage: Bacteria
Description: bacterial SSU rRNA
Rfam family: Bacterial small subunit ribosomal RNA
Source: RNAcentral
AGAGUUUGAUCAUGGCUCAGAAUCAACGCUGGCGGCGUGCCUCAGACAUGCAAGUCGAACGAUUAAAGCUCUCUUCGGAGAGUGCAUAAAGUGGCGCACGGGUGAGUAACACGUAAGUAAUCUACCUUCGAGUGGGGAAUAACGUUCGGAAACGAACGCUAAUACCGCAUAAUGCAGCGGCAUCUAUGAUGACAGUUGUUAAAGAUUUAUCGCUUGAAGAGGAGCUUGCGGCAGAUUAGCUAGUUGGUAAGGUAAUGGCUUACCAAGGCUACGAUCUGUAUCCGGUCUAAGAGGACGGUCGGACACACUGACACUGAAUAACGGGUCAGACUCCUACGGGAGGCAGCAGUCGGGAAUUUUGGGCAAUGGGCGAAAGCCUGACCCAGCAACGCCGCGUGAAGGAUGAAGUUUUUCGGAAUGUAAACUUCGUAAGAAUAGGAAGAAUAAAUGACGGUACUAUUUGUAAGGUCCGGCUAACUACGUGCCAGCAGCGGCGGUAAUAC